GACUAGCGCUGGCGGUGUGUCUUAGACAUGCAAGUCGAGCGGGACUCCUUCUGGUAGCAAUACCGGGCUGAGUCUAGCGGCGAACGGGUGAGUAAUGCAAGGGCAACCUGCCCUGAGGUGAGGAACAACCUGUCGAAAGGCGGGCUAAUUCCACGUGUGUUGCAGCCUCGGCAUCCUGGCUGCAAUAAAGGCGCCGCAAGGUGCCGCCUCUUGAGGGGCUCUUGUUCUAUCAGCUUGAUGGCGGGGUAACGGCCCACCAUGGCUCCGACGGAUAGUCGGCGUGAGAGCGUGACCGGCCACAGGGGAACUGAGACACGGUCCCCACUCCUACGGGAGGCAGCAGUCUAGAAAUUUGGGCAAUGGGCGAAAGCCUGACCCAGCGACACCGCGUGGAGGAUGAAGUCUCUCGGGAUGUAAACUCCUGUCAG
Molecule: ribosomal RNA, 428 nt
Filed under: uncultured bacterium
Lineage: Bacteria
Description: bacterial SSU rRNA
Rfam family: Bacterial small subunit ribosomal RNA
Source: RNAcentral